RNAcentral lists this unclassified non-coding RNA (279 nucleotides) under Hevea brasiliensis (rubber tree). The record is from RNAcentral. Lineage: Eukaryota; Viridiplantae; Streptophyta; Magnoliopsida; Malpighiales; Euphorbiaceae.
GAAGAAGCCUGUCGGUACAACAGCUUACAUGGGACGAUUGCAACAUCUGAUGGAAUCCACUUGCAAAGUUCAGAAAGCUGAGGACUGGUUAAACCCUAGCAUCGUUCUUGAGGUUUUCGAAGCACGGUCAGCUAGGAUGUCUGUUGAAUGUGCCAAAAGACUAAGCAAGUUUACCAAUCAAGAAGAAGGUUUUCAGGAACUUUCUCCUAGUUUGGUUGAGGCUGCAGUUGCACAUUGUCAACUAAUUAUUGUCUCCAAAUUCAUUGAGAAACUUCAGGG